AGUCUUACUCUAACCUUUAGGGGGGGAGGAGCCGAAGGCAGGGCUGAUGACUGCGGUGAAGUCGUAACAAGGUAGCCGUACCGGAAGGUGUGGCUGGAUCACCUCCUUUUAGGGAGACCAUCUGAGAAACUACCGAACCUCAACGAGCGGUAGCAAUCAGUAUCCCUGGUCGUUCGAGAAAUAGAUGUCAAAGCUUUCAAACUAUUAACUGGUUCGGAACAUGGGCUAUUAGCUCAGUUGGUUAGAGCGCACCCCUGAUAAGGGUGAGGUCCCUGGUUCAAAUCCAGGAUGGCCCACCUGGAAAAAAGUGAUGAAUUUGAAGUAAUGAGUCAGGAAUGAAAAUUCAGGACUCAGGGGUUCAAAAAAUCAGAACUUGCUUAGUGGGGGUAUAGCUCAGUUGGUAGAGCGCCUGCCUUGCACGCAGGAAGUCAGCGGUUCGAGUCCGCUUACCUCCACUCUCACUCACUAGCUAGCUAAGUAUUAAAAUACAACCACAACCAAAAAACAUCAGAGAACAGAAAUCAGCACCCAGACGAUUCAUGUGAAAGUCGGAAUGCUGGAGUCGAGAACUCUAGUCAGAACCUUGAAAACUGCAUAGAAAUUAAGUCAUCAUCAAGCUUAGUAAGUAAUCCGAUGCGUCGGAAAAUCUGAGGAGCAGACCACCAUCAAAGAAGAAAGUGGUCAAGUUACAAAGGGCUAACGGUG
Molecule: unclassified non-coding RNA, 705 nt
Filed under: Microcoleus autumnalis VUW4
Lineage: Bacteria; Bacillati; Cyanobacteriota; Cyanophyceae; Oscillatoriales; Microcoleaceae
Description: Phormidium autumnale VUW4 partial contains 16S ribosomal RNA, 16S-23S ribosomal RNA intergenic spacer, and 23S ribosomal RNA
Rfam family: Bacterial small subunit ribosomal RNA (bases 1-109)
Source: RNAcentral